Molecule: non-coding RNA, 993 nt
Organism: Rattus norvegicus (Norway rat)
Lineage: Eukaryota; Metazoa; Chordata; Mammalia; Rodentia; Muridae
Source: RefSeq, a predicted model, not a curated record
GAGAACUGCCCUGCCCUACCUGCUCAACAGCUUUCCUUACAUUGACCAGAUUAGUGGGUGCCUUUCCAAGGAUUGUCUCCUGUGACACAGUGGAAACUUUAUAUACUCCAUCUCUCUAAAGCUAGUUCCUUCUCUUUGCUUCAUUAGUGAUUACAUAUUCUGAAUGGAGAAGGAACCAUAACCAGCAAGUAAAUCCAGAUGCUACUGAGAGGAUCCAGGCUCCUGAUUCUCACAUGUGGAAGGCUGAGAUCAACACUAUCUUUUCAGUGAACCAUCACAAUUCCGAGAGAGCACACAGUGAGCUUUCUCAUGGACUACAUAAUUCGUCGUUUUUUAAAAACUAAAACAGAAGGCCAGCUUCUUUCUCCCCAACUCUGAUCUCUUCUUUCUCUAUGUUCUCCUACCAAAUGGAUCUUUACUCUGAAUUAGAAGCCAAUUAGUAAGCCCAAGAGGUACUGAAGGAAUAUGUCAGAGGCAGUGGCUGUCACGACAACACUUGUGAUAUCACAGAAGAAGCUAAAGCUCUACAGGAUAAAGAAAUUUUUCAGGGAAAGCCUACUGAUGAUUUCACUGAGAACUGCCAUGGCCUACCUGCAGAACAGCUGUCCUUACAUUGCCAAUAUUAGAGAGUGCCCUUUCAAGGAGUGUGUCCAUUGACACAGUAUAAAAUUUACAUAUUCCAUCUCCAUAAAGAAAGAGACUUCUCUUUGCAUCAUUAGUGGUUAUAUGCUCUGAACGGCGAAAGUUAGUUAGGGAAUUUGUAUGGGUAGAAAAGAUCUAGGAACAUGGAGUGGAGGAGAAUCUUCUGGAUAAUAAUUUUAUUCACUAGACCAUUCCUGUGAAAUACAAUUCAAUUUCCUAGGGUUCCUCUGUUUCCCAAACGGCAGUAUUUACUAAACAGACCUUUAAUUGAAAGAAUAUUGUAUUACAUUUUCUUACUGUACAUUCCUUGAUAGUGGACUUUACAUAUAUUCCUGAAUGUGUACUCAAAAA